RNAcentral lists this non-coding RNA (21 nucleotides) under Arabidopsis thaliana (thale cress). The record is from RNAcentral. Lineage: Eukaryota; Viridiplantae; Streptophyta; Magnoliopsida; Brassicales; Brassicaceae.
UUAGGGAAAUCUCAGGUGACA